This is a small nucleolar RNA of Sorex araneus (European shrew), 104 nucleotides long. RefSeq annotates it as small nucleolar RNA U13. The record is from RefSeq and is a predicted model, not a curated record. Lineage: Eukaryota; Metazoa; Chordata; Mammalia; Eulipotyphla; Soricidae. The transcript has a single exon.
AUACUUUUCUGGUUCAUAAGUAUAAUGAUUAGGUGUUUACACAUUUGUGUGACAUGUGCCUCUCUUAAGCCUUGUUACAUACUUGGCACAUUACCCAUCUGACG